This 253-nucleotide ribosomal RNA is filed under the name uncultured bacterium. Its description in RNAcentral is "partial 16S ribosomal RNA". It matches the Rfam family "Bacterial small subunit ribosomal RNA", at positions 524 to 776 of the family's 1533-position model. The record is from RNAcentral.
UACAGAGGGGGCAAGCGUUAUUCGGAAUUAUUGGGCGUAAAGGGCGCGUAGGCGGCCAUUCAAGUGACGGGUGAAAGCCCUCGGCUUAACCGAGGAACUGCCUGUCAGACUGGAUGGCUUGAGACCGGGAGAGGUGAGUGGAAUUCCCAGUGUAGCGGUGAAAUGCGUAGAUAUUGGGAGGAACACCAGUGGCGAAGGCGGCUCACUGGACCGGAACUGACGCUGAGGCGCGAAAGUGUGGGGAGCGAACAGG